RNAcentral lists this ribosomal RNA (429 nucleotides) under bacterium. RNAcentral describes it as "partial 16S ribosomal RNA". It matches the Rfam family "Bacterial small subunit ribosomal RNA", at positions 355 to 776 of the family's 1533-position model. The record is from RNAcentral.
UGGGGAAUAUUGGACAAUGGGCGCAAGCCUGAUCCAGCCAUGCCGCGUGUGUGAAGAAGGCCUUUUGGUUGUAAAGCACUUUAAGCGAGGAGGAGGCUACUUGGAUUAAUACUCUAGGAUAGUGGACGUUACUCGCAGAAUAAGCACCGGCUAACUCUGUGCCAGCAGCCGCGGUAAUACAGAGGGUGCGAGCGUUAAUCGGAUUUACUGGGCGUAAAGCGUGCGUAGGCGGCUUCUUAAGUCGGAUGUGAAAUCCCUGAGCUUAACUUAGGAAUUGCAUUCGAUACUGGAAGCUAGAGUAUGGGAGAGGAUGGUAGAAUUCCAGGUGUAGCGGUGAAAUGCGUAGAGAUCUGGAGGAAUACCGAUGGCGAAGGCAGCCAUCUGGCCUAAUACUGACGCUGAGGUACGAAAGCAUGGGGAGCAAACAGG